Molecule: ribosomal RNA, 254 nt
Filed under: uncultured bacterium
Lineage: Bacteria
Description: partial 16S ribosomal RNA
Rfam family: Bacterial small subunit ribosomal RNA
Source: RNAcentral
UACGUAGGGCGCAAGCGUUAUCCGGAAUUAUUGGGCGUAAAGAGCUCGUAGGCGGUUUGUCGCGUCUGCCGUGAAAGUCCGGGGCUCAACUCCGGAUCUGCGGUGGGUACGGGCAGACUAGAGUGAUGUAGGGGAGAUUGGAAUUCCUGGUGUAGCGGUGGAAUGCACAGAUAUCAGGAGGAACACCAAUGGCGAAGGCAGAUCUCUGGGCCGUAACUGACGCUGAGGAGGCGAAAGCAUGGGGAGCGAACAGG